Long non-coding RNA from Athalia rosae (coleseed sawfly), 2278 nucleotides. RefSeq lists it as uncharacterized. The record is from RefSeq and is a predicted model, not a curated record. The transcript has 3 exons. Lineage: Eukaryota; Metazoa; Arthropoda; Insecta; Hymenoptera; Athaliidae.
UGAAUCAUUUUUAAUAACGUAUGUGACGUUGAACUUUCUAUGAAUUUUCCGUAUUUAGAAUCGUCGAUGGACGUGUGUAAUUGAUUCCAAAAACGUGAAGAAAGUGAAUACGGUUUCAUCACGCGAUGCGUGUGAAUACGAUUCGCUCGGCAAACUUCUUAACGAUAUCAGCCUGAUUACGAUACGUUCGGAAAGAGGUCGGAGGUGCCAAAGGGUAGAAAAUUAAGGGGCACCUUCAACAGUAAUCGAAAUGAAUAAAAAUGAUUCCCCAUGAUCGAGAUUUGUGUAAAAUUUCUCCACGGAAUCUUCACUCGGUUCGAUUAUUCAAAAAACUAUGUUGUGAUAAAAAUUGACAGGUAUACUUGAGAAAAUAUUUGGGAUUAAAAUUUUUAAUCAAAGUGGAAUCGGGAGAGUGGGAAAUCAUCGGGAAUAGAUAGGCGUACGUGAAUACGCGCGCGUCGAUACCUUUUGAAAUAAUCAAGGUGUCCCUCGGCGACAUACGAUACCCGGAAGAAAUAUUAUCUUACCAAACGGAAUCGCCACUGCUUCAACACCCCGAGUUUCUAAAUAGCACAGUUCGCAUGCAGGAUUACGACGUCACGGAUACACCGAGUUUCUUGCGCGUAUAUUCACGCGUGAUAAAGCCGAUCGAACGCGGAAUAUCUGUGCGGCGUACGCAUACGAUAUGCAGAUAACGCGUUGUUCAUGCCGCCACCCCUACAUAACACGAACCCCGACGAGGACUGAGAGGUACAAGGUCGUAACCCUCGCUUUAUUUUGGUCAUGGAUCAUUACGUUGGCAGAAGGGCGUGAUCCUCAGAUAUUUGAAGGAAUUGAACACGUUAAACGAUCGCAGCAAAAAAAAAUUUCAACUCUUCGAAAUCGCUCGGAAUUAUCCGACGCAUCCCCUCAAAAAUUGAACAAUUUUUCGAACCGAGUUCAAUUCGAACUCACAUUUUUGUUUCGGAAUUUUAAAUUUGCUCACGUUUUUUGGUGACUCUCGAUAUUUUCACCCCCCAUGAACAGGUGUGAUGCCCGAGCAGUUGGAAUAAGAGGAACGUAUGAAGUUAUAAACUCGUUCCCCCCUCCAGGUAACGAAAUUAUUCGAGUGGUGCAGCAGCGAUAUACCGUAUACGUUAUUACAUUAAAGGAAUAACGUGCAACCCCAACAUUCCAUAAAUUCUUACUAAAUUCGUCCCUUAGCUUGUGCGAUUAUUCCAUGCGCUGUUCAUUUCACGAACUCGAUGAUCACAUUUCGCAUUAUACUAUAAUUUUGCACUUUGAGUCUUCCAUUCCAGAAAACGUCCUGCGAUUAACAAAAUAUAUUUUUAAUUUACCCAAUCCGAUCUAGAGAACCUUGAACUUUGUUGUAAAAUUUCAAAGGUCAAAGCAGAGAAUCGAUUAUACCGCACGUUGACGACGAAAGAGAUAAGUUUGCCUGAUCCCGGUUGAAAAAGGUGAAGAAGGAAGAAAAAAAAUCGUCACGUGGGUUCAACCGUUCGGGAACUUCUUCCUCGAGUUUGAAUAUUUCGGAGCUUGAAAGUCGUCACGCAACUUUUUACAGCAUAACGUUUCGACCGAGCUUCUUCUGUUCCGGGGGCAAUUCGAGUCACGAACAAUGGCAAUUUUAGUUUACGUCGGAUAAAAUAUUUGAUAAUAGGAAAUGAUUUUUCAAACGUUUACAACUCGCGGCCACCUGAUCAGCCGAAUAUUUGAGGAAAUAUUGAGCCGUGAUAAGACGAUAUUCAUCACUUCCCACAUCGUCGUGUCGAAUGUAUAAGUAUACAAAGAGACUACGGUCGACAUUCUCAUGGGGCAUUGGAUUCCCGGGUAUCUUUCUGACAGUCCAUGAAUCGAAUUGAUUUAUUUUUAUUACCCUCAAUCUUCCGGAUAGGUUGAACAUAUCUGGUAUUCAAAGUCGAUAUUUGUAUUGUAGAAAUCGAAUCGCUGUGAGUCACCCUGUAUUCGUAACUCGGUUGUCAACAUCCUUCUAUAUCGGAAGGAAACGUGAAUCCAAUUAAAGAGAACAGCGGCGACUGGAUACGAAUAAUCCAAAGCUCUUCACGAAUCAAAUUUCAUUCCGCCUAUGUAUGAUCGAUCCUUCCAAACCACAGAGAAAAUGAAUGAACAAAUUGACAAAAAAAGCAGAUUCAAUUAUACAUUUUUCAGAGUGAAGAUUUCACUACCUGAAACAGUCGCUCGAACGGUUGAAAAGAGAAUGGAUUUUUGGUGAAAAAUAAAUAUUUCGCUUUAUAUGCUAUUCUUGUGUAUUUUGAUC